UAAAAAAAAGCCCAAACAUCUAACCCUAUCUCUCCACCUCACCACCAUCCAACUGCCCGGAGGACAUGACGCGCCGGCGCGCCGCCACUCGCUAGUCUGCGCUCCGCUGCCGGCCCGCCCGAGGAGACGACGCGCCGGCUGCCUCCGCCCUCCAGCCUCCAGCAGUCUACCCUUCGGCCGCGGCGCAGGCGCGCACGGCGCCGUCGGCGCCUUGGCGGCUCGGGCGCUCGGCGCAUCCGGCAUCCCCCCGCGGCGCCCGCCUCCAUGCUCCAGCCGCCGCCGCCCGCCGGUGCGGCGCCGCGGUGACGAGUUGCCGCCUGGCGCCUGCCUGCCUGCCUACGCUCCACCGAGGCACCGACCACGGCAGCCUGCUAGCCCGCAGUCGCAGGGGCGCAGGGCCCCGCGCCGCGUCGCCGCCACCGGCCACCGACCUGCCGCUGCCGUCGACGACGAGGUGACGAAGUCGAUACCUCACUGAGACAAUGACUCACUAACUCUUCCCUAGUUGGCUAGUUCCCUUCAUCACUUCAUGGCUAAUUGGUACGAAGUAGGAACUUUGGAUUAGGAAUUUAUGAUUUAAUUCAUACUUGAAUGACUGAAUGUCUGAAUCUAGCAUGGAUUGUUCAUGGUUGAACAUUUUUUAUUUAAAAUUUGAAUAUAGGAAUGAUUUAUGGUUAAUAUAGUAUAUAGUAUCAACUACUAUAUUAGUGAUGUAAGGAUGAGAAUUUCACAAAUUUGAUAUGUUUUGUCUAUUAAUAGUUUAGUAUUAUACUCUAAUAUGCUUAACACAUUCAAUUUAUGAUCAAUUCUAUCCCUGCAUCUAUGACUUUAUGAAAUCAUGUUCAUACCGUUAUAUAUUAUACAAACUUUGGGUUGAAAAUUUUUUUCUUCCUCUUCUAAUUUCGAAUACCCAAGUUGAAAAUCCUGGGCCCGCCCCUUCUGCCGAUGACGAACACCCCGCCGUGCAGCGGCGAGCGCAGGAUGGAGAGGCACACGGCGCCAUCGCUCCUCUUGUACGAGUAGUGCUCCGGCGCCAGCUUCAUGGCGGCGUCCUUGCCGGCGAACACCAGCGUGAUCGCCGGGAGCUCGGUGUCCUUCGUGUAGCACAGUACGGAUGAGCCCUUGUCUGCUAGCGGCGGCAGCUGCUUCUUGAGGUGGUCGAAGAGCACCGGGUUGAGGAACGUGUAAAGGGUGGAAACGGUGGUCAUGAUCGCGGCGGCCUUGUCGCUGACGAUCUCGCCGCUGGCGACCUUGAUGCCGGUGAUGGCGACGAAGUAGAGGUUGGGGUCAAUGUUCGGCGCCUUGUCGACGCCGACGGGGAUGAGCGGGGUGCUGGUGCUCGCGCUGGCGCCGCAACCGCGUCGUCGUCGCCGAGCCAUGCGAAGCUCCUGAGAUCGCCGUCGAUGAAGUAGGCGAACCUCCGGAACGACGCGGCGAGGACGCUGCGCCUGCCGAGGCCGACAACGGCGGCGUCCUUGCGGGAGGAGGAGGCGGAGGCAGAGGAGCACAUGUACACCACAGUGUCUAUUCCCCUGCUUGAUCAGUCUCUCUUCUCACCGACACUCGAAGACUAUUGACGAUUGAGUUUUAAGACUUUGAUCACCAUGCUUAGGCAGCUUAGCUUAAAACAUUAAUUGAAUAUAUAUAUAUUGGUCAGGGUUUUCUUCGACAUGGUUUUAAAGAUGGACUAGUGGGUCACUUAAUAUACGUGGAAAAUUGAUGAGGACCCAACUAGUUCGGAUAUAACCAUGACUACCUUAUGUAUUGAUCAACCAAAGAUGCAUAUGUUCUAUAUUAGAUUUACUUGUUAUAUAUUUGAACUAACGUUGUUACACAAUGAGUUUGACGUGUUUUCGUUUGUAGACGUACUUUGAUUGUGCGAAAGAAAAGAGAAGCGUAAAGAAUGCAUGGAUGAUUAAAGAAGUUGAUUGGGGACCAAACCAAGACCUUCUCCAAGUCCACUUCCAUUUCACCACGUCACUUUUGAUCCAUAGAAGAUAAGAGAUCAAGUUUUACACAUUUUGGAUUCGGAUUCGGGCCUCUAGACAGCAUCAACUUCAAACGGACCGAGCUGCUAAUCUAGAAGGAAUUUCGGGGCCUAUGAGUACUUGUUGGAAAGCUUAUGGAGUCUACUUUCAAAUGGUUUUGGACCCACGUCAAAAUUUUUAUCGAGCUGUCGGGAAUCUGCAAAAUAAGUCACGUAUCUCAUCCAGUCCGAAUUUGAUUUGAGUUUUGGGUCUUGUAAUUGUGUCGCGGGGUUAGCCCAAGAGGGUAUGCACCCUAGGGCAACCCUAGAACGUCCCUAAUCAUAUUUAUUCAGUAGCCGUCAUCGUUGAGAGUCGGGUUUUGCUUAGAUUAAUCUGUCAAGAACCGUUUCACCGCCAGAUCGGUUUGUGGAACACCAAAUUUGAGUGCUUAAUCAUUCAUAUGCAAUUUGGUUGCAAUCUAUCUUGUUCUUGCUUGUGUUCUUCGAUUCGCAUGCAGGGAUUAGCCUUCUCGGCGAGGGCAACCAGGUUUCGGCACUGUUGAUAACCAGAGGAGACGUGGUGCUGCGAUUGCGGGGUUCAGUAGCGUGUUCGUUCAGAAGCCGGAUCGAAUUGUGUCGCGACUCCGCCCAAAUCGACUGUUUAUCAAUACAUAUCGGAAGAUCGGGACCUAACAUCCCUCAUCAGUUAGUAUCAUAGCGCGGUUGCCCGUUAGGUAAUUUAUCUACCCAUAACAAGAAAAUUGCCACACAAAAAUAUUGCAUCCAUUACCUAGCCAAUUUGAGCCGUUGCAUUGUUCUAUUAAUUUUUGCGUCGUUGAAUUUUAGAUUGCAUCGUCGUGUCGAGUGCUGGUUUAGUUUCAGAUUUAAUUUUUAGUUGUGAGUAUUGCAUUUGUUCAUCACUUUGGGUUAGUCAUGUCCGUCAAUUUGGGUCCAGUUUUGCAUCUCAUCGGUUGUUGCUGGGACCUUGAAAAAUCGAAUCUACUAAUCAUCAGGUUUCCGUUUUUGUGGUUUGGAGGAGUUUUCUUUGAGCGGUUUCUGUGUUGCCAUGUCGGUUCUGUGUUCGUGCUUUUUGUGCACACGUUGAGGAGAGAAACAGAUUGGCAUAUCGGUUUGUUUUCUAUAGGGGGUUUAUCUGAUCUGUGUCGUCAAACGGAAGAAAAUCUCCACAUAUUUUCCAAUCUUCCACAGUAGUCUGAAUCCAACUCGUCCUUGUCACGGCCGACCCCCACCUCCACCUCACGGGUUUCUUCCAUGCCUCCUCCUCGAUCACCACAUUGUUAGGUAUUUUGGUGGUUGUAGAUUUGAGUUUUUUUUUAAAAAAAAAGGAACCUACAUGCAUGAUGUGAGCAUUCCAUUUUUGAGCUGGUCCAAUUUUAGUUUUGCACUUUGCAUUUGAGUCCCUACAAUAUUUAUAUUUACAUUUGAGUCCCUGGUUGAGGUCAUUGAUUGGUUCCUGCUGAAAAAAGUAAAAAGAAAAAAGAAAAGGUUGAAAGGUGCAAAGAAAAAAAAAAGCCGCACCUAAAAAAAUUAAAAAAAUGCAGAAAGGUGCUUAAAAAAAGCCGCACCAGAAAGAAAAAAAAUCAAUCAUCUUUUGAGUAUGGUUUGAGAGUGCAGAGUUGUGCAUUGAUUCAUAUAUAGUCCUUAAUGUUGUCGGGUGCUUGCUUGAGCUAGAGUUGAGUCUAGGUUAGGCCAGCACAUUGACUAGUACUUUGAACUAUUAUUCAACUUUGAAUUUUCUGAUUAACACAAUUGCGUUCUUUUGCUACUAUAUAUUGUGCCUCCCAAGCUCCACAUAUAUACUUCUGGUCAGCACCACUUUGAUCCUUGCAAUCGCUACAUCAAGUUCUUCAAGGUGUCACGAACCAGCCACCAGUUGUACCGUCCUUAGCAUUGCUGGUAUGAGUGGCACUCAAAAUCAGCAACACCAACAAGAGAAGAAAUUGCUAGGGCGUGAUCAACAAAGUCAAGAACAAGGCGAGCACGUACAUGCCGCGGGCGAAGCCAUCUUUGGGGCUGCCCAAGCCCAUCUCUUUCCGGACACCCCCACCAGCAAGCAAGCGACCAGUUGCGUCCGGAGUUUCUGCAGCGCCAAAACCACCUCCCCCCACGACUUUUAGAUUCAGGUAAAGGUUCUUCGCAAGUACCCACCAAGAGUGCCUCGUCCGUCGCUUUGACGGGAUGCACGCCCAGCAUUCAGUGCCACCGCUGCCAUGGAUUUGGCCAUGUGCAGAAGGAUUGCCCUAGUCAACGGGCAUACAUUGCUAUGGAAGAUGGCUACAUCAGCAUCUUCGACGUUGAAGAUGAUGAGGAGGAAGAGAGGAAAAAUGGAGAGAAAGACCUAUCCAUAGCUAUAUGCAUGCUUGAGGAAUGUUUAAUUGACCAAGCGCCUAUAAUUUCUGAAGAUGAGAAAGAAGGUAAUGAUAAUGGUGCUACAACUACUCAAGGUAUGCAUAGUUAUGAUGUGCCAACUAUAUCCACUACUUAUGCUACGUUAGAGAAACCCAUGGUGGAAACAAUUGUUGAAAUACCUUUGUCACAAAACAAUUUGCUUGAUUUUUUUGAUAAAGAAUAGUUAUGCGAUGCUUCACUUAUAUCUAUGCCAUAACUAGUGAAUGAGCAUGUUAGUUCUAUAGUAGAGCCACCAUGUGUUGAAUUUAAACAUGUUAUUCAUAUUCUAGCGAGAAUGAAGAGCUUAAAUUGCUAUCUUCUUUAAAUACUUGGGGAUAUAUUCAAUUUAAUGAUCUUUGUCCACUCAAUUGUUUAGAGAAGAAAUUAUUUGCUAGAUUUGAAUUGCCAUGUCCUUCUGAUGUGAUUUUUUAUGUUAUUGGCAAUUAUGAUAGUAAAGGAGAAUAUAAUAUGUAUCGAGUAUAUAUUUGUUUGAAUUUGACUAUACCUCAUUUUCAUGAUGAAAUGUAUUGUCUAGAGGACCGCAUGCAUAUAAGUAAUUCUUUAUCUAUUUCCUCUAGUUGUUUAAAUGAGUUACAUGUUGGUUUGCAAGAAUGUGAGAGUUGCGGUUUUUUUACUACAAAGAUUUUAGGAUCCAACCAUAUGGACAUCAAGAAAUGUUCUUUACCGGAUGUUGUGAUAGAUAAAGAUAAGUUCAAUACGCUCCAUGACAAGGUGAAACCGAGGACAGUUUCCAAUCAAGAAGGGGAGGAUGAUGAGGACACAACUAGCUCGGAUAUAACCAUGACUACCUUAUGUAUUGAUCAACCAAAGGUGCAUAUGUUCUAUAUUAGAUUUACUUGUUAUAUAUUUGAACAAAUGU
Long non-coding RNA from Oryza sativa Japonica Group (Japanese rice), 5255 nucleotides. RefSeq lists it as uncharacterized. The record is from RefSeq and is a predicted model, not a curated record. NCBI's taxonomy places the organism in Eukaryota, Viridiplantae, Streptophyta, Magnoliopsida, Poales, Poaceae.